Molecule: long non-coding RNA, 1909 nt
Filed under: Homo sapiens (human)
Lineage: Eukaryota; Metazoa; Chordata; Mammalia; Primates; Hominidae
Description: non-protein coding lnc-ADGB-4:2
Source: RNAcentral
UGCAGCUGUAUGAGUAUGACAGAGCCUGGGAGUUCCCUGGAGGGACAGGGUAUGUGGGGUUGCACUAUUAGAAGAGGAUUCAUGGAGGGAAUGUGUUAGAUCAAGGAUGAAAAGAUCUUACCAUACAGAGAGAUGAGGAAAGGUAAACAAAUUUCAGGAACAGCCUGAGACAAGCUUCGGCAGGGAAGGUGGGCAUUGUUUUAUGCACACGAGGUGUAGGAGCGAAAAGACAGAUUGUCAAUUAUCUACAUUACUGCUAGCAUUACAGGAGUUUAAAAUUAUCUUUCAUCUCUUGUAUAUUUAUUGUGCAUGGCAUAAAUCAGCCACACUAGUAUCUGCAUACUAGUAUUGCUUUCAAACACCAAUGAUAGAAAAUGUCCAAAGCAAAUCAGAGUAAAUUAAUUUUUUUGCAUUAAUUUCUGUUUCUUUCAAAUACAAAGAUUCAUAUAUAACUACUAUCAAAGGCGUUUUUUGCCUUUACAGAUGGUCAACAUUUGUUAAAGAAGUCAGGAAAACGCAGACAUGCAGGGAUUAGGACAUCCUUGCGUCAUGGGUCUCUCAGCCUUUUCCUUAACCAGGGGUGGCUGCGCUGCACUUGAGGAGGAGGCAAGGGGCAGUCAGGCAGCCUGGAGUUCUCCUGCCCACUCUGCUGGCUCUGCUGGCUCCCCAGCCUACUUCAGCCCCAGCCUCGCAAAUUCCAAACUGCUGAUUCAUGCUCAUGAUGUGAGCCUAAUGACCGCGAACACGCUCUUGUUUUUCUUCUUCAGGCACAUUUUCUUGGUAACCAGGCGGAUGAUAUGCUAAUGCAAGCUGGCAGACUUGAUCUCAAACUACAAAAAUACGCUCUGCCACGUGGAGGGGACAAAGGAGGAAAGAGACUUCAAGGCUAUCCUUUUGACUCGGGUUUCCAUUUUUGUCGAGAAGCACACAGCAAGUGCUCAACAAGGAGAUUUGGUAUUCAGAGGAGACCCACAGUGACCAUUAGGAUUUUAAACCACCAUGAGCAGUAAUUCUUCUCAUUUAAAAUAAAUGUCCUCUAAGCUUUUUUAGUAACACACUUUAUGAGACUCCGCUAGUUUCUCGUGCUGUUUCAGACAGCUCUGGGUAAGCAGGAGAUGCUGAAUCCAGUGAGGCAGAAAAGUCAGAAUUUGCCUUUUCUCAAAAUCCAUCUUGGCCCCAACUUGGCUGCAUCUUGCUUCUGAGUCAUAUAGCAAGGGUUCGUUGAAGGUCACCGCAAUGCCCUGGACUACUUUGGAGUUUCAAUGUAUUGCUGUUGAAAUAAUUUUUAAUCUCUUCCUGUCAGCUGGCCAGAUGAUACAAUAAUAUUACCCUGUGUUGCCUCACAAGUGAUUAAAGAACAAGAGCACAGCAAGUCCUGCUUCCCAGCCCUCUCACAGGAGAGCAUAGAGGCUUCUGCAGGGAGAACGAGCCUUCUGCAACAUACAGAUAUUCCCAGAAAGACAAUUCACAAAGCAGUUUAUUAGUGCCUGUGUUUUCAAGGCACUGCUGAGCGGAAUGCCAGGGCCAUUGGCUCCUGUUUUAUUAAGGUUCUUGUCUAUCUGACUCAGACUCACAAAUUUUCUGGCCACAGACUUGGAAUUUACUGUAAAGUGAGUCAUCCGGUAUGAACCAAUGAAAAUUCUCCAGGCAAAUUCAGUUCAGACUCUGAGUUGUUAUUUUUAUUCUAAAAUGGUCUUUUUCUUUAUUAUCUGGAAACUCAUCAGUUAGGUGAGUCUGAGUGAGUCUGUGUUAAGAGGCUAAAAUUAAUAAAUCCAUCUGGGUAAUUUCAUGCCAAAAGCCACAACCUUCGGUUGAUAAAAAGGAAGAUGUUUCAUUUCAAUUGGAAGGUCACAGUCGGUCUGCUAAGCUGAUUUUGAAAACGAUAUGCUGAUAAGCAUAGGAAAGGGUA